This 332-nucleotide ribosomal RNA is filed under the name uncultured bacterium. Its description in RNAcentral is "bacterial SSU rRNA". It matches the Rfam family "Bacterial small subunit ribosomal RNA", at positions 568 to 898 of the family's 1533-position model. The record is from RNAcentral.
CACGCAGGCGGUCGUGUAAGUUUGGGGUUACAGCUCCCGGCUCAACUGGGAGAGCGCCUUGAAGACUGCAGGACUUGAGGGCCAGAGAGGGACACAGAAUUCCGGGUGUAGUGGUGAAAUGCGUAGAUAUCCGGAGGAAUACCAAAGGCGAAGGCAGUGCCCUGGCUGGUGACUGACGCUGAGGUGCGAAAGCUAGGGGAGCGAACGGGAUUAGAUACCCCGGUAGUCCUAGCCGUAAACGAUGACCACUAGGUGUGGGAGGUAUCGACCCCUUCCGUGCCGUAGCUAACGUGAUAAGUGGUCCGCCUGGGGAGUACGGUCGCAAGAUUAAA